Molecule: ribosomal RNA, 492 nt
Filed under: uncultured bacterium
Lineage: Bacteria
Description: partial 16S ribosomal RNA
Rfam family: Bacterial small subunit ribosomal RNA
Source: RNAcentral
AGUGAACGCUGGCGGUAGGCCUAACACAUGCAAGUCGAACGGCAGCACAGUAAGAGCUUGCUCUUACGGGUGGCGAGUGGCGGACGGGUGAGGAAUACAUCGGAAUCUACUUUUUCGUGGGGGAUAACGUAGGGAAACUUACGCUAAUACCGCAUACGACCUACGGGUGAAAGCAGGGGAUCUUCGGACCUUGCGCGAUUGAAUGAGCCGAUGUCGGAUUAGCUAGUUGGCGGGGUAAAGGCCCACCAAGGCGACGAUCCGUAGCUGGUCUGAGAGGAUGAUCAGCCACACUGGAGCUGAGACACGGUCCAGACUCCUACGGGAGGCAGCAGUGGGGAAUAUUGGACAAUGGGCGCAAGCCUGAUCCAGCCAUACCGCGUGGGUGAAGAAGGCCUUCGGGUUGUAAAGCCCUUUUGUUGGGAAAGAAAAGCAGCAGGUUAAUACCCCGCUGUUCUGACGGUACCCAAAGAGUAAGCACCGGCUAACUUCGUG